RNAcentral lists this ribosomal RNA (376 nucleotides) under Amynthas micronarius. Its description in RNAcentral is "partial 16S ribosomal RNA". It matches the Rfam family "Bacterial large subunit ribosomal RNA", at positions 1926 to 2541 of the family's 2925-position model. Lineage: Eukaryota; Metazoa; Annelida; Clitellata; Crassiclitellata; Megascolecidae. The record is from RNAcentral.
AACGGCCGCGGUAUCCUAACCGUGCAAAGGUAGCAUAAUCACUUGCCUAUUAAUUGUAGGCUAGAAUGAAAGGGUUAACGAAAUAAAGACUGUCUCAAUUAAUUACCUAAAAAUUACUCUCUAUCUGAAGAAAGGUAGAUAAACUCGAAGGACAAGAAGACCCUAUAGAGCUUAAUUUUAAUUAUAGAACCAAACUAUAAGAAUAUUCGGUUGGGGCGACCCAGGGCUAAAUAAUCACCCAUUAACUAAAAGAUAAAUAAAUCUAACAAAUGACCCUAUAAAGAUCAUAAGAACAAGCUACCUUAGGGAUAACAGGCUAAUCCCACUUAAGAGUCCUUAUCAACAGUGGGGGUUGGCACCUCGAUGUUGGCUUAGG